This 421-nucleotide ribosomal RNA is filed under the name uncultured Clostridium sp. RNAcentral describes it as "bacterial SSU rRNA". It matches the Rfam family "Bacterial small subunit ribosomal RNA", at positions 355 to 794 of the family's 1533-position model. The record is from RNAcentral. Lineage: Bacteria; Bacillati; Bacillota; Clostridia; Eubacteriales; Clostridiaceae.
UGGGGAAUAUUGCACAAUGGGCGAAAGCCUGAUGCAGCAACGCCGCGUGAGCGAAGAAGGUCUUCGGAUUGUAAAGCUCUGUCCUUGGGGAAGAUAAUGACGGUACUUGAGGAGGAAGCCCCGGCUAACUACGUGCCAGCAGCCGCGGUAAUACGUAGGGGGCUAGCGUUAUCCGGAUUUACUGGGCGCAAAGGGUGCGUAGGUGGUCUCUUAAGUCAGGAGUGAAAGGCUACGGCUUAACCGUAGUAAGCUCUUGAAACUGGGAGACUUGAGUGCAGGAGAGGAAAGUGGAAUUCCUAGUGUAGCGGUGAAAUGCGUAGAUAUUAGGAGGAACACCAGUAGCGAAGGCGGCUUUCUGGACUGUAACUGACACUGAGGCACGAAAGCGUGGGGAGCAAACAGGAUUAGAUACCCUGGUAGU